UACAGAGGCCCCAAGCGUUACCCGGAAUCACUGGGCGUAAAGGGUGUGUAGGCGGCUUUGUUAGUCCUUCGUGAAAGCCCACUGGCCCAACCAGAGGAGCGCGGUGGAAACGGCAAGGCUUAGAGGAUGCGAGAGGUAAAGGGAACUCAUGGUGUAGGGGUGAAAUCCGUUGAUAUCAUGGGGAACACCAAAUGCGAAGGCACUUUACUGGCGCACUCCUGACGCUGAGACACGAAAGCGUGGGUAGCGAACGGG
Molecule: ribosomal RNA, 255 nt
Filed under: uncultured bacterium
Lineage: Bacteria
Description: partial 16S ribosomal RNA
Rfam family: Bacterial small subunit ribosomal RNA
Source: RNAcentral